AAUCCUUUUAUCAUAAUUUGUUCUGAAAAA
RNAcentral lists this ribosomal RNA (30 nucleotides) under Backusella variabilis. RNAcentral's name for it is "partial 28S ribosomal RNA". The record is from RNAcentral. Lineage: Eukaryota; Fungi; Mucoromycota; Mucoromycetes; Mucorales; Backusellaceae.